Non-coding RNA from Zootoca vivipara (common lizard), 12815 nucleotides. The record is from RefSeq and is a predicted model, not a curated record. Lineage: Eukaryota; Metazoa; Chordata; Lepidosauria; Squamata; Lacertidae.
GGCGCGCGCUCGGCAGCGAGGGGAGGGGGGACGCUCUCUCCCUCUCCGCGCGCCUUUCCCGCUCCUCCAGCCUGAUUGGCUGCGAGUAAGGGGAGGGGGCUUCGAGACAACGGGCGCGCGAGGGAAAGGGGCGGUCACGGCAGCGGCGGCGGCGCUCCUUCCCGCUCCCCCCCCCCUCUCACCGCGUUCGGACUCGACGCCUUCCCUCGCUCCCCUCACGCCGUGGGCGCGCGCGCUGACGGCCGCGUCUUUCGGUUCCCCCCUCCCCGCUUUUUCUCCCGUCCCCCUCCCUUUUAACCCUUUCCCUUCCUUUCUUUAGGUCUGCCCGCUUUUCCCCCCCGCCCGCCGCUCGCUGCUCUUCCCCCCCCCAUCCUUUCCUCAUCCGGCUCGUCGGUCAGUCGGGAAGGCAGAGAUCGGCCGUGAGGCGGUUUCUGAGGAGGCUCGCUCUGCGGAACAGCCUCGGGGGGCGAGCGGGCGGGAGCUGGCUGGGUGGGUUGCCUGCCUUGCCUGCCUGCCUUUAAAGUCGAGGGGGGGAGGGAGGCACUAAUUGCUCGCUUCUAAACGAGGGCAAGUCGCCCCUCCCUCCUUCCCCCCUCCCCAAUUUUCACGGUUUUGGUUGUGGACUCGCGGAAAGCUCCCCCCCCCCAACCUCAAAGCGCGCGCGAGGAGGGCGGGGCAGAUUCCAUCCACCCGUCUACGCCCCCCCUUUUGUUUUCAGCCCUACUUCGCAAUUUCUCCCAAUUAUUGAUCAUGAUCACCGGAAAUAAUCGGGCAGGUUAUUAAGGAGGGCGGGGAGGGGAGGGGGUAUAAACACCCCCACCCCAAUCUUUGUUCUUCGGAUUCGCAAAGCGGUGGUUUAGCGCUCUUCGUUUUGCUGUAACUUAUCCCCUUCCCCCCCUCCCACCCCACCCCCCCGUUUGAGGGUCCCCUCCCCGCAUACUUUAUUUUUAUUAACCCUCUUUCCCUAAUAGUCCAGGGAGGGGUCGGAAGAUCGACGCAUCUCUUUCUCUCCCCCCCCCGACCCCCCAACCCUAAAUUCAAAGUGCUGUUCACAGGAGGAGGAACAGGAGUCGGAAAGAAGCAACCAGAUAUUGUUGGUGCCAGGUGCAGCUUUUUAAGGGGCCCAGUUCUGAGGGAACAGAAACACAAGAGGAGUUCCCUGUACUUUGAAUCCUCAGAACCUAAGAUUCUUUUUUGUCAACCUUCAGAAGAGGGAGGAGGAAUAUAAAGUCUGUCCCCCCACAUUACUUUACUCUUCAGAGCAGUAGUUAGGCAUCACCCAUUGGGGUACCAGGAUAAUGCAGUUCACAUGACAGCUUCUUUCUUUUGGAGGCUCUGUGACCAAACCAAGCUUGAAGAGCUAAAAGGCACUGAGAGGACUUGAUUACCUCCCUGGGGUGGGGUGGGGAGAAAGAAAGAAGGUCCCAAGAAAAGCCUAUUCGCAUAGAAGGAAAAUUGAAGCAACAGUCUCUGGAUAUUGCUGCUCUUCCCACCCCCAAGCGUUGGACAUUCCUUUCAAAGGAGACCUGACGUCUGUGGGACUAGUUCAAGAUGUGUAGUUCGGUUGCUCCCAGGCUCUGGUUUUUAACGGAUCGUCGUAUUAGGGAAGACUACCCUCAACAACAAAUCUUGAGAGCACUCAAGGCCAAAUGUUGUGAAGAGGACCUGGACUUCCGAGCUUUGGUGAUGGAUGAAGUGGUCCUGACCAUUGAGCAAGGAAACCUUGGUCUUCGAGUCAACGGGGAACUCAUCACUGCUUACCCACAGGUAGUGGUGGUGCGUGUGCCAACACCAUGGGUCCAAAGUGACAGUGACAUUACAGUUCUUCGCCAUCUGGAGAAGAUGGGCUGCCGGCUCAUGAAUCGUCCCCAAGCCAUACUUAAUUGUGUCAAUAAGUUCUGGACUUUCCAGGAGCUAGCUGGCCAUGGUGUGCCUCUUCCAGACACCUUUUCCUAUGGUGGUCAUGAAAAUUUUGCCAAAAUGAUUGAUGAAGCAGAAGUGUUGGAGUUCCCCCUGGUUGUGAAGAACACACGUGGUCAUAGAGGUAAAGCUGUGUUUCUGGCAAGAGACAAACACCAUUUGGCAGACUUGAGCCAUCUAAUUCGUCAUGAGGCUCCUUAUCUAUUCCAAAAAUAUGUCCAAGAAUCCCAUGGCAAAGAUGUUCGUGUCAUCGUAGUGGGAGGUCGUGUGGUGGGCACUAUGCUGCGUUGCUCAACAGAUGGUAGAAUGCAGAGCAAUUGCUCGCUUGGUGGCAUAGGAAUGAUGUGCUCUCUGAGUGAACAAGGCAAGCAGCUGGCAAUCCAGGUGUCUAACAUCUUGGGGAUGGAUGUAUGUGGCAUCGACCUCCUCAUGAAGGAUGAUGGCUCGUUCUACGUCUGCGAGGCCAAUGCAAAUGAGCCAAAAAAGUCAAAACAAUCCAGAGAAAAACUUCCCUUCUCCCCUUUCUGAUGGCAAGAGAAAGAGCUUGUGAAAAAUCCUUGAGAAUGUUCCUCCCUAAACUUUUCCCCCCUGUGGUAAAACAGUAAACGCAGCAGUUUGGUGGCAUCCAGUACCGACCUGUUGUCAGGUAACUUUCAGCUCUUUUGAUCAUCCCAUGUUUGCUAACGUUGCUUUCCUUUCUUCUAACACCCUGGUUUUCAUAUUAUUACUGUCCAGAAAGAAUGAGGCUUAGGAAGCAUGUUGAGUUCUUCUUGUUUUUUGUUUUUGUUUUGCUUUUUUGCUAGAGCCAUGUUUUAAUAAACCUUUUCAGGAUCCAUGUGUUCAAGUAGGAUCAUGGCAAGGAUGAGUUUAAACAACAUGCACUGCUUCAGAAAGGAGUGGUGGGGUGGUGUGUAAUUCCAUAAAUUCUGCCAUCUCCACCCUCCCAUGUACCUUGUCUUGCUCUUCUCACUCCCUUCCCCCCCCUCCCCAUAUACACUCUUGGCUUAAGUUUUUACAGGGCUUUGGUCUUUCCAGGGGCACAAUCAGCACAAAACUAAUCGGCAUCAAUUAAUAACAGGUAUGAAAAACUAGCUGUACAAAAGUUAUAUAUAAAAUUAAUUUCUUAUAGCAGGGCUGGGGAGGGGAGGGUGGUUAUCAUCCUUUGUUAAGGCCAUUUGAGGGUGACGUUUUCAGGCAUUUUUAGUAUGUGCUGUUGAGGAUGGUACUCGUGUCAGUAAUACUUGGUGAUUCAAAUGAUCUCUUGAUAACUUUGAAAACAAUUUAUUAACAGCCCAAAACUUGUGUAGUGCUGCAACUGCAACCAUUUAGCCUAUAUUGAAGGUACUUUCUAAUGAGGAAGAAUAUAAUGCUUCAGAUAAACAUUCUUAAAUUCAUUUUUGUGUGUACAAGUUGGAAAUAAGUCAUUCUUUUUCGAUGUUGCUGUAUUUUAACAUUUUGUGUGCACACCACCUAAAGCAAAAUGUUUCUUUGCCAGUUUAACCCCAUAACACGUUUUGAAAUUUGUAGCUUGGGACAUCUUUUAAGCAGCACUAGUGCAGGAUUUGCCUUUUUUAUGUUUUAAGAGUUCACAGGUGUUAUUGCAUAUUAUUUUUACUGCUUCUCCUUUUCACUUGGCGUGGAAGAGUUACUCCAGAAUAUAAUUUUGUCCUUUGAUUGCUGAAAGAAAUGGUUGUACCUUUUAGAGCUAGCUGAAGAGGUCACAAUAAUAUUGCAAGCAUUUUGACAAAUGCACCCUUUCUUGUGAUACUUGUUUUCUAUGUAAAAUGGGACAAAAGGCAUAUGUGUAUAUAAAGCCUGGUGAGCAAUUAAAGCUCUCCUCUUUCGACUUGCAAACAGACUAGGGAAAAGUUCACGCUGCAGAUUGCUUCCUUUAAAUUGGCUGCGCCCUUGUGAAUUGACAUCUUAAAGGAGGUAAUCAGUUGCAGUCCCUUUGCUGAAAAUAAAAGUAUUCCCAAUGGAUUAGGGACACCUCAAGAAGCAUUGUCCCUGCUCUUCCGGUAACAUUCCUGGGAGGAGAGAGACCCAAGGGGACAGGGAGAAGGAUGAGAGUGGUGUUGAAGCAGUAGGAGUCUGUGGGAAGAGUGUUUGUGAACAGUGCCCAGCAAAGGUUAAAACAAGCUGCUACUUUCCCCCCCCCCUUUGGGAACCCAGGAAGGUGUUACGUCUUCAGUAAAAGUUGUUUGGUUUUGUGAUGUUCUAUGUGGCUCAGGUUAUGUGUUUCAGAUCUGUAGCUACUAAUAUGCUAUAAGAAAGAAUUAAAUAGCCUAGGUUCUACAGUACCUGGAAAUUAGUUGAGCUCAACCCAACCAACAAAGCUGCUGCACACACCUUCCUACUGAAAUGUAUGGAAGUCACAUGGUAGCAGCGCCAGGUGGUAUUUGCCUGUCCUAUUUUAAUCUGUCCUUUAUCCAGAUAGCUCCAUCUGUAGGGAGGCCUUCCAGAACCUGUUACUGGGUAUCGUCUGUCCAGAACUCUUUUUGAAGGGUGUGGGUGGAUAUGGGGGAAAGCUUAAAAUAAGCUUUGGUGCCUUAAAAGGAUCCCCACUGUAUGAUUUUUCUGCAAGCUGAACAAGAACUUCUUCUAUAUACCCUUGUGCUGCAACAGAGUAAUAAAACUGGUAGGUGGCAGCAGAAGAAGGAACUUAUGCAGAUGGCACCCGUGAACUGAGAAUGCUGCCAUGUGUGGAGAGAUGGAUUCCAAAACAUUAGCUGGUGUAACGUGCAAAGAUGAGAGGCAGCUACCCUGACUUGUCAAUCUGCAUGGUGAGUCUGACUCUUGGUCAAUUCUUAUCCACAAUAAUGGAUCUUUACACUCCACAGUUCUCCUUAAUCUGGAAUGCUGACUAAAAGCCAUUAUGGAGGGCUGACAGACCUGUGUGUGCUUGUCUGGAUUUCAUGUUACACAGUACUUUAAGAGAUUGUUGCUGACUAGUUUAUCACAACCUUCCCCUAGGGCAUCCCUUUGCUCAUGUUAACUAUUGUGUAACACUUUCUUCCAAAAAGUACUGCUAGAUUGUAUUUUUAUCACUCCCAUUUCAAAGACAUUUUCCAUGUAGUAUUUAUACUUCUCAUGUAUUUCAAGGUGAAGGAAAUGACUCUGUGCCAAUUUUGUUAUAACAGAAAUGGAAUGUGAAAUUUGACAUUUGAUCUCACUGUGGCCCAGAUUUUCAGUUCCAGGGAAUGUUCUGCAUUAAAUAGUCAUUGGCUCAUACUUCAUGUAGGGCAGUGUUGUGUGGAAUGAGCAGUUAGAAAUAGAACUCAUUGGGGAAAAUUGUCAGCAGCUGAGUGGAAUGAGAAGCAAAUAUUUAUGAUCUUGAAACAUAUUAAAGUAAGUUUUCGACUUUCAUAUUUUCCCUAUUGACGUUUUCCAAAACUGCCCCUUGAAACUUCAUAUGUUGGAAAUCAAUUGUAGCUGUACAAACAAUUGUCAUAAGAGAUCUUUUACAACUACUUGCUUGUGAUCAUUACUGUGCCCGUUAAAAGGUAAAGGGACCCCUGAUCAUUAGGUCCAGUCGUGACCGACUCUGGGGUUGCGGCGCUCAUCUCGCGUUAUUGGCCGAGGGAGCCGGUGUACAGCUUCCAGGUCAUGUGGCCAGCAUGACAAAGCCGCUUCUGGCGAAGCAGAGCAGCACACGGAAACGCCGUUUACCUUCCCGCUGGAGCAAUACCUAUUUAUCUACUUGCACUUUGACGUGCUUUCAAACUGCUACCAUAGGUUGGCAGGAGCUGGGACCGAGCAACGGGCGCUCACCCCAUCGCAGGGAUUCAAACUGCCGGCCUUCUGAUUGGCAAGCCCUAGGUUUAGUGGUCACAGUUAAUCUGGGAGUUAAUGUGCCACAGAUUUUAACCACAAUAUAAACAUUCAUAAUAAACCUAUGAGAUGUUUCCACCAAAUGUUCAUGGUUUGCCAUCUGAACAGCUUUGUGUAAGAUAAGUAGAGUUAAUGUGCAAAUGAAUGGCUGCUGUGAUUGCAGGAAUCACUAGAAUCCGUGCAGUACUGCUUGUGGGAAAUAGGAUUCUGUGGAAACAAUUCGUUGGUGCUGCCACAUAUGUGAACUUAUUUGGUUAAACCAAGGUGCCCCUUGCUUCUCAAUGAUUUUUUGAGUGUCUGAAAUAUGACACUUCUGAGAAGCACAACAUGAGUUGUGGGCUGCCUGUCUUAUUUCAGGGGGGAAAUUGCAUGGAAACUGGAUAUGCUUACAAGUUACCUUUUUCCACUUACAGUGCACAUAGCCUUAGAGGAAUAGGUAUCCUAAGCACCCUUCUUGCAUUUGAAGGGGCUUGCAAUAGAUAUGUGACAGACUGACUUAGAGAAACAGUGGGGUAGAUCAAGGCCUUUAUUCACAGUGCAGUGUGCAACAGUCAUAUUGGAGGUGCAGAGGGUGGGGAGGGAGAGAUGCUGGAGCAGGAGGAAGCAGUGGAGCAGGUGGCAGCUGGACAACAUUUGCUUAUCUGUCUCAGGCAGCAAAGCAUUUUGAGCAGGCCCUGGCUCCCCCCCCCAAAAAAAAAUGAUAUUUACUUGAACUUGCUGAGUGAUGGCCAAGAAUUUGGGUUGAAGUUACCUUAGUAUGUGGGUGUCAUCCAACUCCCUCUAAUCCAGAUGUGGCAACCUCAUUUCCAGUAAUGGACUGGAUGCCGGCUAAUAAAUUGAAGCUCAACCUAGAUACCAGUAAGCUGGAGGUGUGAUUGGUGGGUGGGUAGGGGGCAUUCAGUUUGUGCAAGAUGGGAUAGCACUCCCUCUUAAAUUGGUUCACCGCUUGAGUGCAGGAAGCUCCUGCAGCCAAUCGCAAGCCGCGCCUUGGUUUUCGAACAGCUUCAGGAACAGAUUAAGUUUGAGAACCAAGGUACCACUGUAUUGCAGAAUAGCAGGACUCCGGAAAGAGUGAAGUGGUCCUGGUUUUCUCCCAGUGCACCAACUUAACUGUAGUUUAAAGUGAUGUGUGAACCAGACAUUGAUUGUAUGCCUCCCUAAGCUCAUUUCGUAUAAAAACUUGCUAAAAACAAUAAAUAAAAUUAAAUGCAGUAAAUAAAAUUAAAUGCAGUAAAAGUAGUCAUGCACUAGUCACCUGUGUCUAAGGAGUAAUUUGAUAAAGAAUGUGGCUAAAGAAUGCUGAUUUCAGUGCAUACUGCAGACAUGCCUGUAGUCUUUCCACCACGCCUGCUUUUCCCAGCUGGCAUACCUGAUGAGUGUGUUCAUGUCACUGGAGGGCCAGGGGAAGCAGCUGGGAGGAAGGCUUUGUAAGUGAGAAGGAGAGAGGAGCAUUAGGAACCAGCACUGCAAUCUUCUCUGCUGCUGUGCUGCUGUUUAACAGAGACCCAAGGUGUCCGCCCGUUUGCACCCCGCCUGAUAUGUAGGUCUACAUAAGUAUUGCAGACCAAUCUCUCAGUUGAGUACUUGUAAUAAAAUGUGAUUUGUGCUUAAUAGGGGAGUAGAAAAAAGCCAGAAACACUGCAAUCUCAUGCAUUUUUAAAAAAAUGUUUAAAUCAUUGCUAUAGCGUUAGAAAUAUACAGCCAGAUCCUUCACUGAUUGAGUUAAUAUGCAAAAUUCUUCCUCUCCCACCCCCAUCUCCCUCUAUUUUCCAGAGCCUCUUUAUGUCCUGCCUGAUACAGCUUUCCUUCAGUGCCUUCAUUUCUCCAACCCAUGCUUCCCUUUGCUCUUCUUUUUCAUGAUCCUGUACAUAAGGGCUGUUGUUGUUGUUGUUGUUGUUCACAUCUGUCUGUUUUGAUAGACAAUGGAGUGCACCUCUAGGGGCGCAGCCAAAUCGCUGCAUUAGCAGUACUAAAGUGACCUCCCUGGGAAGCAAGCCUAGGCAGUGUGUAUGGAGGUCCUGGGCUGCCCAGACGACAAGACCCCCAUCUUGGCCUCGCUUUGCUGCAGGAGUUGCAGGAAGGAGAUGUAUCAGGCACCAUCCAACCACCUUAGACACUCCAUUCCAGAUUUGUGUAGGGUUUACUCCUUAGCUUGCUCUUUUCCUGAAUAUAUCUCAUAAGUCAACAGAGGUUUAGGAACAGAGUUUGCCUUUUCCUAGAUGAGCUGCCUUCCCAGGUUGACUAGUCCCAUCUGUCCCUCACUUCCCUCUACAGCACGUGCAGAAACCGCCUUCUUGACAUUUGGACCCACUCUUGCACAAUCCAUUGGAGCCUGUAUUCGCAUUCAGGGGAAGUCCUAACUCACCAAGGUUUUGAGACCCAUCAGCUACUCUCACCUGGUUUAGUCAGCCAGUCACUGCCUGUCGCACUGACAGCUUCUAGGAGACACAGGUGAGAGCUGACUGCAGGGUGGGGACGAAAGGUGGAUAAACUACCCCAGAAAGAGCAUGGCGUGUCCCCCACCAGAGGCACUGCUUCUCCCCCAGCACCCGCAUAAAGGCUAGUAAUGGUCUAAAGCCACACGAAGCUCAUGGAAGCCUUCAGUUCUGUCAUGGAAAAAAGGUGUAAUUUGAAAUAACUUAUCCAGCUUUUUUACACUGCCCUCCUUCGUGCCUCUAGGGCUCCCCUCUUCCAAGACCUCAGCUACUUUCUUUACCAGGCACUCCUGUGUCUUCUCAAGAUUCCUCCCUCUUGCUCCCUACAGCCUCAUCAGUCCUUGGGCUCCACGUGAAGCUUUUCUUCCAUCCAAAUAGAAACUUUGAACGAAAGGUGACGUGACCCUCUAUGACCAUCUAUGAGUCAAACUCAUGACAAGACAACUGUGUAUGUGUGUGUUGUUCAUAUGCAGAACAGGGGGCUAGGCUGGAUCUAUUUUUGCAUGAAAAGGGGUGUCAGUAAAGAGAAUGAAACCCCUCUUGUCUUAGCUUGCUACAUUCCAAUAUUUCUAGCAAUUCUUCGCUUCCCCUGCCCAGUCAAGUCCUAUUAGCAAAGGAAGCUGAACUGUAGAGAAACUUGCUGCAGUGGAAUGCAAUAAGAGAAGGGAGGGGCUUAGUUUCCCUCAAGUGCAUUUUAAAAGAAAUUGAAUUGGUUACCGGUACUUUGUGCAACCUGCACAAUUUAUUCCACUUGUGUCCUAACAGUCUUGAGUCCUUGGGCUACUGGAUUUUUAGUUUUGACUAAAGCAGACUCUCAAUCAUAUGGUUAGUCUGCAGGUACUGGCAAAUACUGCAAAUUCAUUUGAUAAAGGAGCCAAGAGAAUCUCUACUAAAGUGUUUUCCCCUUCCUUUCACAUGAAGAUUUCACACAGACUCACCUGUCCCUCAGAAAAGUGGGUAGCAGGAACCCCACCAGCCUCUGACCCAGUGUUUGGAGGAAUAAGCAAGAUUACAGUUUGCUCUAGAAGGCCUUGGAGGCAAAACUGCUUCUCCACGAAUUCCAGAACUGUUUUUGUUCCAAAUGACAUUUCCAGAGGCAAGCUUUGUAAUUGCAGGAGAAUAGAGUACUGUUGAGCUUGUGAAACUACUUAUGCACUCCCCCCCCCUUUCUAUGAAAUAUUUUCACAGGACACUGAUGCUGGGUCAGCAGCCCCAGAGACUGCCACUAUCUCACCUGAGGACAGGUAAUGAAUGGCAGGGGGGUGGUAAUGGUAGCAACAUGCUUGUUUGACCUGAGCUCAUAUUUUCUACUAUACCUCUUUCUUCCCCAAUAAUGAAGAACCAUCUUCAAGGCUAGUCAGUAUCCUUGAUGAGUCUCUGGUGGCUACCAACGACGAAGCCAACUACUCUGAUGGUGGUUUUUGUGCUACUUGUCUCUCCAUUCCCCCUCCCCAACAUUCCAGUUGCCUGGUUUUAUAUUACGGUGACCAUUUCUCUCUUAUUUCUGUAGGGUAUAUGAAGCAUCAAGAGACCUACCUUCUUCUUUUUAUGGGUUUUGUUCGUUGCCCUUUGUUUCUCCAGUUGUGAAGGGAAUGGUGCAGGGUGGCAGAAAAAGUCCAGAGACGGAAACAAAAUGGCAUCAGUGGGAAUAACGUGUUCAUCAUAUAAUAGAAGAUGCUCAAUAAACUGCAAUUAAAGAAAAUCAUGUGUAUGUGUUUCUUCUUCUGUAACUAACUGUGGUCAAAUCAAUUGGCUCCUCAGGCAAGUUGACCUCUAUGUUGCUUUGAUGAAACCUGCAUCCCCGUGUUAGUACUAUACAUGUGUACUGAUUCUGAAUGCAUGCCAACAGUGCACAGCUGCCUUCUGUGGAAUCUAAGGGGUUCUGCAAAGCUUCAUCUCCUAAUGGGAAUUUGUUAGAUUAUUAGAGUUUAGAGCAGGCAUCCCCAAACUGCGGCCCUCCAGAUGUUUUGGCCUACAACUCCCAUGACCCCUAGCUAACAGGACCAGUGGUCAGGGAUGAUGGGAAUUGUAGUCCAAAACAUCCGGAGGGUCGAAGUUUGGGGGUGCCUGGUUUAGAGCAUGGGGUGGGGUUGAGUUUGGGUUUUUUACUUCUCUCAUUAACAGCACGGUUCAUCCUGAUUAUUUAGAAAUUAUCAAGCCUUGGCAUUGGAAGUUUUUCGCAUGUCAAGAAACAAAUAGUUUGUGCCUCAUUCUACCUAGUCUUGCAUACCAGUCAAGACAGUGGUUUGGGGAGAGGAUUGAAGGAGGAAUCUCUAUCACAUUAGCAAGUCAUGUUUCUUUAGGGAGUCUUGUCUCGCAAAGCAGUAUCCCUGAAUUAUUGUAAUUAUGCAUUUAUUUUUGGCUGAAGGCUUAAGGCCUUCAAUUUUUUUGUUUCUAAUGGAAAGUUGCCUUAGCAACAAAGCCAAUAAAAUCAUUCUGUACAAAUACCCCACACGUUAAUGGAAUAUAGGCUAUCAUGAAUACCCAUGACAGAGAUAUAGCCGUAACCAUUUUAAGUAUUUCACCAGCUUAAGUAUUUCAAAUUUAGUAAUACUUUUAGCAGUUUUGGCCAAAUAAUGAACUCUAAAUAUAUCUGUUCAGAUCCUUUUAUCAUAGACAAACACUAAAUUGCCAUCCUAGAAGAGUGGAAACUAGUAUGGUAGUGAACAACUGAAAGCCCCAAAUUGCAUCUUAAGAACAACUUCAGUAAAGCAAUUAAUAUAAAAGUCCCCAUGUUCUUAAGUAGAGUUUCCCCUUACAAAGAGUAUUGUACCCAUCCUCGAGAGUGGUGACACCUGAGAUUAGCUACAUAUGAUAGCCUAGGGACAGCAACCCAGCUUGAAAGUAUUGUUCAGUGGCAACCAAUGAAUAGCUGAGUACCAGCAACUAAGAUCUUGCAAAGAGAAGCGGUUAAUCGCAAAGUGGGUUGGGGAAAAUCUCACAUAAGCCUGCUAGUACAUUUUAGGGAACAGUUCCUUUCGUCACUAUGGCACUGGUGGAAAAUGCUGUUUGUUAAAAUAUCCUUUCUGUGCUACUAAUAAAGCCAGGAGUUUUCUCAGUAUGCUAAGAACAUACAGAGAGCCUGCUGAAUCAGACCAAUGGCCCAUCUACUCCAGCAUCCACUUUUCACCAGAUUACCUGUGGGAAGCUAUCAAGCAGGCCUGUAUCUUGUCACAUGAAACAUACAAUUUUUAGAUUUUGUUCAUUUGCCGUAUCAAAGGUUUAUGGAGGCUGAAACCCUUCUAAUUGUUUAGUGUAAUAGUGAGGAUUGCUUUGGUGAAACUUAAAAGGAUUUGUUACUGGCUUUCCUGACGAAAACCUGAGCAAACGUGGGAUUCUGCCGCUGCAUUUUAUUCCUAUCUUUGUACAUGGUCUUGCCCAUUCUCAAAUGCUAACAGGAAGAAUGUUAUGAAAAUGUUUCUUGUAUGCAUUUCAUUCCACCUAGUCCUGCAAUCUAGAGUUUGUGGUAUUGGAAAGCAUAUUUUUGACAGAAGAGAAGCCAAAAUGAGACAUUUAAAACACCACUGCCUUGACCCAAGGAAGAUUGGUGCCUCUGGAAGGCGAUAAGAGGUUCACCUUCCUAUCCUUGAUGUCCUGUUUUUUACUCAGUAGUUCAAAUGCACAAAAUCCCAGAUACCACUCCUGCACCCUGCCACAAUAGUCCCCUGCAUUUUGUUCCCGGCCUCCUUUUACUGUAUCCACUUAUUUUUUCCAGACUUGCAUUGGAAUGGCUUACUUAGAGAAGUUUUUAGCAUUUGUCUCCUUACUCUCCCAGCAGUUGGAAAUUUCAGCAGCAGCUGCUUCGGGAUUAAUAGUUGCAAUCUAUUUACACAUACACAAGGGUAGUGAGGAUGAGUAGGAAGUAGGCACCCAGAUGGGAGAGCACUAGUUUUUGUUUUUAGUUACCUUUUUUUAAAAAACAAAAAACUUUACAACACAACAUAGGACAAAACUAUACAAAGUAUCUAGAAUAACCUUUAAAAAACAAAAGCUGCAUAUUUCAUUAUAAAGUGUUCAUUUUACAAAAAUAAAUAAAAGGAGAUAGGUUUACAGUAAAUUUGCUCCAGAGUUGUAUUUUUCAUUUGUUCUUGCAUGGUGAGUUUAAGUUCAAAAUCCACCAUUUGGUUUAUCCAUAUACACCUUAAGGAGGGUGUAACUUCUAUUCUCAAACAUCAUGCACAGAGAAUCCUGGCUGUUGUGACUAUGAGGGGUGCUAAUUCUUUGGUUUUGGUAAUUUAGUUCAUGCAGUUCAAGAGAGAGAGAGAGAGUGUGUACAGUGUAUCUAAUGGAGCUGAAAACCCUAGGAUCUCUUUAAAAUAGUCUUUCCAAUACCUUAUAUGCCAUAAAGCAUUCCUGCCAUUUUUGUUAAAUUCUUUUUUUUCAUACUUUUUAUUGAAAAUUUUGAGUGAGAAAGGGAAAGGGGAAAGACAAAAAUAAAAAAAUACUUGAAAUUGUGAUACAGUACGGAGUACAGAUAUAUAAGCAAUGCCCGUUAUUCCAACUACUGAAACACAAUGCUAGCAAGACAUAACUUUUAUAAAUGCGUUUUUCUUAAUUCUUGUCCUUUUAAAAAUUUCCAACACAUUGGAAGUUAGGUGGGGAUGAGUGAACCAUAUGGAAUGGAGGCUU